This 460-nucleotide ribosomal RNA is filed under the name uncultured bacterium. RNAcentral's name for it is "partial 16S ribosomal RNA". It matches the Rfam family "Bacterial small subunit ribosomal RNA", at positions 338 to 795 of the family's 1533-position model. The record is from RNAcentral.
CCUACGGGAGGCAGCAGUGAGGAAUAUUGGUCAAUGGACGAGAGUCUGAACCAGCCAAGUAGCGUGAAGGAUGACUGCCCUAUGGGUUGUAAACUUCUUUUAUAUGGGAAUAAAAUGUUCCACGUGUGGGAUUUUGUAUGUACCAUAUGAAUAAGGAUCGGCUAACUCCGUGCCAGCAGCCGCGGUAAUACGGAGGAUCCGAGCGUUAUCCGGAUUUAUUGGGUUUAAAGGGAGCGUAGGUGGAUUGUUAAGUCAGUUGUGAAAGUUUGCGGCUCAACCGUAAAAUUGCAGUUGAAACUGGCAGUCUGGAGUACAGUAGAGGUGGGUGGAAUUCGUGGUGUAGCGGUGAAAUGCUUAGAUAUCACGAAGAACUCCGAGUGCGAAGGCAGCUCACUGGACUGCAACUGACACUGAGGCUCGAAAGUGUGGGUAUCAAACAGGAUUAGAUACCCGGGUAGUC